RNAcentral lists this ribosomal RNA (119 nucleotides) under Cottoperca gobio. Lineage: Eukaryota; Metazoa; Chordata; Actinopteri; Perciformes; Bovichtidae. The record is from RNAcentral.
GAUUACGGCCAUACCACACUGACAACGCCCGAUCUCGUCUGAUCUCGGAAUCUAAGCAGAGUUGGGCUGGGUCAGUACUUGGAUGGGUGACCCCCUGGGAAUACCCGGUGCUGUAAGCA